CAACCACUUGGAAGGGGAGGGUGUUGCGCAGGGAUGCGUCACUUCAUUAACCUUUUUACUUUUUUUUUUCCCCCAGAAUGUUCCAAGAAGCAUGGUAUUCUACAACCUUAAUUCUAUCUGACAUCUGUUCCAUACCUCUCACUGCAUUAAGUAGUCCAUCUUCUUCAAAGAAAAUUGCUGAUAUUUGCGGCACACCGAGGAGAUAAUAGCGGCACACCCUUUGAGAAUCACUGCACUAAGGGAAUAGCAGCCCACGACUUUACUGUGAGCACAGAGGGAUGGCACCGUCCUGCAGACAAUUGGCACGGCACACAAGACGGAGGGAGCUGUGGCCUGCUGCCCCCAAAUCGUGACCCGCCGCGGAGGACUCAGCCAGUGGGAGAGAGGAACCACAACAAUCCUCCGGCGGGGAGGAGGUACCACGAAAACGGGGCCAGCAGGAGGUUAAAGGAAGGGUGGCAGCUGUUCUAGCUACUGCCUCCCCCCAACCCCCUCAAUGGAUAAGCAGCAAAUCCAACAGUGCAGCUUCACUACAUCUAGAACUAUGUGAACAUAUG
This is a long non-coding RNA of Scylla paramamosain (green mud crab), 557 nucleotides long. RefSeq lists it as uncharacterized. NCBI's taxonomy places the organism in Eukaryota, Metazoa, Arthropoda, Malacostraca, Decapoda, Portunidae. The record is from RefSeq and is a predicted model, not a curated record. The transcript has 3 exons.